Molecule: transfer RNA, 72 nt
Filed under: Camelus bactrianus (Bactrian camel)
Lineage: Eukaryota; Metazoa; Chordata; Mammalia; Artiodactyla; Camelidae
Also listed under: 1 other name
Rfam family: tRNA
About the family: Transfer RNA (tRNA) molecules are approximately 80 nucleotides in length. Their secondary structure includes four short double-helical elements and three loops (D, anti-codon, and T loops). Further hydrogen bonds mediate the characteristic L-shaped molecular structure. tRNAs have two regions of fundamental functional importance: the anti-codon, which is responsible for specific mRNA codon recognition, and the 3' end, to which the tRNAs corresponding amino acid is attached (by aminoacyl-tRNA synthetases). tRNAs cope with the degeneracy of the genetic code in two manners: having more than one tRNA (with a specific anti-codon) for a particular amino acid; and 'wobble' base-pairing, i.e. permitting non-standard base-pairing at the 3rd anti-codon position.
Source: Rfam by way of RNAcentral
GAGGGUACAGCUCAGUGGCAGAGCAUGUGCUUAGCAUGCUCGAGGUCCUGGGUUCAGGACCCAGUAUCUGCA